Oryzias latipes (Japanese medaka) is the source of this 3850-nucleotide non-coding RNA. Lineage: Eukaryota; Metazoa; Chordata; Actinopteri; Beloniformes; Adrianichthyidae. The record is from RefSeq and is a predicted model, not a curated record.
GAAAUGAUCCCUGCAGGCUGAACAAAAACCUGCAGAUGAACAGAUGUUAGUGUUUGUGACAGAAAGAGAGCAGGAAACCACAGCCAGGUUCACAUGUUUCACCUCCAUCUCAAAAAGAUUCUCAAGCACAAUGAAACUGAAUCCAAAUUAAAGAAACAAAACAAAAAAGCAGAGGAAAAAUGAAAUCAUGAAAGUGUGAAACACUAUAAACCCUGAAGAACCCAUGAUGACAUCAGUGUAACAGAACAUUAGAAACAUGUUCAUUGAACUCCUUGAUCUGUGGUACAUACCACAUAUUUUACUUUUUAGGAAAAAUUAGUCUUGGCUAUACAUGUUAAUAAUAAACAUAUGAAUACUAUAUUACAACAUUUUUAAAAGUUAAAAAACUACAAACCACUAAAACUGCAGUGGAGAAAUCCUUAUUUCUAACAUUGUUGGGAGUGUUAUUAAAGAAUGUUUUUUCAUAUUUAGUCGCUACUUCGCCUUAAAUUUAACUGGGUUAGUAACUGAAUUACUCUAUAAUAAAAUAGUAUAAUAUUAAGUGGUUACCAGAAAACACAACUACUUCACAGUUUUUAUCAAAUGCUAAAACACAAAAGCCAAUCCCCUAAACAAAGUGACCAGUUGUUGAAACACAUUUACUAAAUCUAGCCACCUUUUUACAAUAUCAUAAACACAUUUCACAUGAAGGCACACUUCAUAAAACACAAUCCGUUCUCAUAAAUCUUAACACAUUUUUCUUUGCUAUCAUGAAAGUGUGAAACACUAUAAACCCUGAAGAACCCAUGAUGACAUCAGUGUAACAGAACAUUAGAAACAUGUUCAUUGAACUCCUUGAUCUGUGGUACAUACCACAUAUUUUACUUUUUAGGAAAAAUUAGUCUUGGCUAUACAUGUUAAUAAUAAACAUAUGAAUACUAUAUUACAACAUUUUUAAAAGUUAAAAAACUACAAACCACUAAAACUGCAGUGGAGAAAUCCUUAUUUCUAACAUUGUUGGGAGUGUUAUUAAAGAAUGUUUUUUCAUAUUUAGUCGCUACUUCGUCUUAAAUUUAACUGGGUUAGUAACUGAAUUACUCUAUAAUAAAAUAGUAUAAUAUUAAGUGGUUACCAGAAAACACAACUAUUUCACAGUUUUUAUCAAAUGCUAAAACACAAAAGCCAAUCCCCUAAACAAAGUGACCAGUUGUUGAAACACAUUUACUAAAUCUAGCCACCUUUUUACAAUAUCAUAAACACAUUUCACAUGAAGGCACACUUCAUAAAACACAAUCCGUUCUCAUAAAUCUUAACACAUUUUUCUUUGCUAAAACACAAGUUGAAAAAGAACUCUGCUCAUAUUCUCAAAUGAAAGCUCGUGAUACAAAACACUUGCCACAGUCAGCAAUAUUUGAACACAAUGAACACAUCUAGCGUCAUUCAUUAAACACAACAACUCAAAAUUGAAGACAUUUGUUGCUAAUGCUGUGACCACACGUUAAAAAAGCAAGUUUAGAGAACACAGUUUGAUGAAGAUUUCAAAUAAGCACAAUGGUUGAAGGAAGAGUCAGGGGAAGAGGAAUUUGAGUCAGAGGAGGAAGAAGAGCUGGUCAUGGAGGAAGAGGAGCAAGCCAAUGAGGAAGAGGAGUUGAAAUUAGAAGAGGAACAGAGGAAGAGGCCAACAAGGGAGAGGAGGAGGUCCAGGAAGGAGAGCAAGACAACCUUGCACCAUCAUUAUGAACGAGAUGCGAGCAACAGUCAUUGACCAUGUCAUUGUCCAUGGCAUGACAAUGGCUGAAGCGGACUAAGAGUCCGUCUAAACCUGAGUAGGUUCAUCGUGGCCACCAUUAUCAGGGCAUUUGACCGGCAGAAGUGGAGGCAAAGAGGCCGUAACAUCAUUAGCCAUGAUGUUUUGCUGUAGUGUGUAAUGAUGUGUGUAGUAGUUACAUUUUUGAAAGCUUCAAGCAGCUAUUGUGCUGUGAAAGUUUGAGUUUUGAAAUGAGAAGGUGUGGUUGUGUUUCUGUGGCUUUAGAAAAGGAUGUUGUGUUUAGACAAUGGGGAACAUGGAGGACACGUUUGUGAAAUGUGUUUUAGCAUUUGAGAAAAACUGUAACUGUGUCAAAAAGUUUGUCUGUCAAUAUUUGGAUUUUUCUGAUCAGUUUUCACAAUUCAUUUGAAAUGAUUCAGUUAGACUAAAAACGACAUAUUACACAGUAGUAAGUAUUGUAUUUGCAAACAAAAAUUCAAAUAACAUGAAGUGUGUUUAACUCUGUUAAACAAAUUCAUAUUUAAAUCUCAGACAACUGUACUUAUUUUCUGUAUGUAAAAAAAAGUAUCAUGGACCUUCCCCAGCAUUCAUUGCCAGUUUGCUGCGGCCUGUUGCGGUAAGAUUCCAGCAUGGGGUUGUAGCUCCGGGUGGGGGAUAAGGAUAAUGUGUCAAAAUAUCCUCUGUGGCUUGUUUGUGCCAGCCUUAAGAGAGCUUCCCAGUCAUACUUGAUGUGAGUUAACACUCUGUGGACGUUUUGAGACAGAAACAGAUCUAACAAAAUCAAAAUAAAACAAAACCUGACUCCUGAGAGUGGCGCAAUGUCGCACACUGGGGAGUGUCAUCUUGAUCACCUAUAAAUAAUAAAUUAAAUAAUAAAGGCUAGUCCUCGUCAGUUAUACAGGACACCCGAAGCCACCCAGGCCUUUGAGACCCUUUGAGUCCCACUUCUCCCAGGCUCACAUUCUUCGCCCUCUGGAUCCCAUGUCCCAGUUCAAUGUGGAUGUAGACACCUCUAGUACCGACAUUGUGGGGGGUCCUAUCCCAAUGCCAUGGUCAGUCGGCCAAAUCAUACCGCUGUGCCUACUACUUUUGGAAGCUCACCGAGUAGUAGGCACUCGUUGACCAUGAGCUGUUGGCCUUGAAUGCAGCAUUUGGUGAGUGGUGGCAUUGGUUAGAGGGGGCAUUGCUAAUAUUCAUUGUUUUGACCGACCACUACAGCCUGUAGUACAUCCGUACUGCCAAACAAUUCAACCCUUGCCAGGCACGCUGGUCAUUGUUCUUUUCUUGUUUCCAAUUCCAGAUCACCUACCACCUUUGCUCCAAGCACCGCAAAGCCGAUGCUUGGAGAUCCAAGACACCUCCCCUAAUGCUCCGUCGGAUUCCAAACACAUUGCCUCACUGUUGCUCAUCCUGGCUAAGCAAGUGCUCCACCUGGUCCAUGACACACCUGCCGCAGGCCAUCCUGGUACUACCACCACACAAACCCUAACUGUUUCUGGUGGUCCACCCUGCAGACAGACGUUGCACAGUACAUCGCCCUGUGUUCCACCUGCCAGAGGACCAAGGUCCAGUUGGUCUCCUGCAGCCGCUACCCAUUCCACGCUGGCCCUGGUCUCAUAUCGUAGUGGACCCUGUGACAGAUUUGCCCUGGUCUUAGGGUAACAUCAUCAUUCUGACUGUAGUGGACUGUUUCUCCAAGGCAUGUCGGUUGAUCCCUAGCUCUGGAGACUUCUGAGCGAACAGGUCCCUCGCUUCUGGAGCCGCUCGUCUGGGGUUUUUUGUCAUGAAUCGGUACCCUGUCUCCCCUUCUGGCCAUCAGCAGGAAAUAUCUUGAGAGUGCUAGCACUCCCUGCUACUCCACACUCCACUUCCCAUCAGCCCCUGCUGUCACUCUCAGGAGCCCCAACGCUGUUUCCCAUCACUUCCAGCAGUAUUUAGACAGAGCACUUAACUCAGUGCAACACUUGUUUGUGACUCUGGCCUAAAAUUCUGUGCAUUCUUCCAUCAUCUGCCUCUGCCUGAUCCUUGACUUGCCUGUCUCUGACCCAUGUCUGCCAGCCCCCUACCUCUCCAUGUGUCCUCAAUAAAGUACUGCUCAUGGUU